UACGGAGGGUGCGAGCGUUGUCCGGAAUCACUGGGCGUAAAGGGCGCGUAGGCGGCCUGAUAAGUAGGGGGUGAAAUCCUGCGGCUUAACCGCAGGGCUGCCUUCUAAACUGUCGGGCUAGAGCACGGUAGAGGCAGAUGGAAUUCCCGGUGUAGCGGUGAAAUGCGCAGAUAUCGGGAAGAACACCCGUGGCGAAGGCGGUUCUCUGGGACGGUACUGACGCUGAGACGCGAAAGCGUGGGGAGCGAACAGG
RNAcentral lists this ribosomal RNA (253 nucleotides) under uncultured bacterium. RNAcentral's name for it is "partial 16S ribosomal RNA". It matches the Rfam family "Bacterial small subunit ribosomal RNA", at positions 524 to 776 of the family's 1533-position model. The record is from RNAcentral.